This 253-nucleotide ribosomal RNA is filed under the name uncultured bacterium. RNAcentral describes it as "partial 16S ribosomal RNA". It matches the Rfam family "Bacterial small subunit ribosomal RNA", at positions 524 to 776 of the family's 1533-position model. The record is from RNAcentral.
UACGUAGGGUGCGAGCGUUAAUCGGAAUUACUGGGCGUAAAGCGUGCGCAGGCGGUUUUGUAAGCCAGAUGUGAAAGCCCCGGGCUUAACCUGGGAAUGGCAUUUGGGACUGCAAGGCUUGAGUGCGGCAUAGGAGACUGGAAUUCCUGGUGUAGCAGUGAAAUGCGUAGAUAUCAGGAGGAAUACCGAUGGCGAAGGCAGGUCUCUGGGCUGACACUGACGCUCAUGCACGAAAGCGUGGGGAGCAAACAGG